AACUAUUAGCUUCGAGGCCUGACACCAGAGGAAUUCUUCUUCCAUGCUAUGGGUGGUAGAGAAGGUUUGAUCGAUACUGCUGUGAAAACUUCUGAGACUGGAUAUAUUCAGCGGAGGCUUGUGAAAGCCAUGGAGGACAUCAUGGUCAGGUUUGGGGUUGGGGAUAUGGAGGAGAAGGGCAACUGGGUCUCGGGUCCAGAAUUCGGACAGUUUCCUCCCCUCAUACUAUACCUUGCAUUGAAUCAGCAGCAUACAGCAAGGAUCGGCCAUCAGCUAUGAAAGGCAACAAAAACGCUGAAGGGCAGAUUAAUAAAGUAACGGAUUCAGGAGCACUUCUUGCAUUUGGGUGGGGACUGUACGGGCAGGGCCAACCACACCCUGCAAUGCUCACCUCUAUCUUGGGGGCCACUUCCCGCUGUUCAGAGUCCUCCGUCCAUCCUGCACCGCCGCGUCGUUGUUCCUUGUUCGAUUCCUGAAAGGAACACACACAACAAUAAGCAACGAGAAAUAAUAUUUUAGACUGCAACUGACGAAAUCUUUUAGACUGAAGCCUAAAUCGGUGCGAAAAAUAAUAUUCUGGAGUUCCUUUGGGAUGAAAAUCUGGAAAGAAUGGGCAGUCUGCUACAUUGAAUGUGAGAAUACCAACAUAGACAUCUGCCAGUGGUGCAAAAGCAACUUUAAAUGACAAAGAUUUGGGAUCAGUAACUCCAGGCUCUUUACUCUCAGUCACCAAACAGUGGAACUCAAAUGAUCACUUAUCACUGCAAUUCCCGAUUGCCCUAAGGACCGAAGCAAUCAAAGAUGACCGGCCGGAGUAUGCAUCUCUUCAAGCAAUUCUAUUCGGGCCAUUUGUUCUUGCGGGUCUCUCCUCCAGUGAAUGUGAUGCAAAAACCGGCAAUGCUUUUUCAGAGUGGAUCACUGAGCAUCCGCCGGUGCCGCUGCAGCUGACCCUAAGGAUCGGGGCACGGACGUUCGUGCUGGGCAUCCACGAAUUUGACAACAAAUAAAUGUUGUAUAAAUAAAUUUUCAACUUAAAUCCAAGAACCUAGUAUGCUCCAUAUAAUUUAAAAUCCCUUUGGCACACCUUGAUUGUUCUAAUUUGUCAUCUUCCUAUAAAGAUGCCAUGACCCCCCUCCCAAUUUAAACAUGCAUUAUGUGGAAAAUAAAGUGCAUCAGUUAAUUUUUGUAUUGAUAUUGCAAAAUAUACUUCUUAUUCUGUUUACCAUUCACUUUCUUACAUGAAUCAUCUAUGCACAGGUGGUGGAGGAUGGAUAUGAAUUCUUUGCUGUUAUCUGAAGAGAAGAAGGGAAAGG
Hordeum vulgare subsp. vulgare (domesticated barley) is the source of this 1313-nucleotide long non-coding RNA. RefSeq lists it as uncharacterized. Lineage: Eukaryota; Viridiplantae; Streptophyta; Magnoliopsida; Poales; Poaceae. The record is from RefSeq and is a predicted model, not a curated record. The transcript is spliced from 7 exons.